Unclassified non-coding RNA from Drosophila navojoa, 733 nucleotides. NCBI's taxonomy places the organism in Eukaryota, Metazoa, Arthropoda, Insecta, Diptera, Drosophilidae. The record is from RefSeq and is a predicted model, not a curated record.
AACACGGCGUGUUGGAAUGAUGAUUACAAAUAAUUUCAAAAGAGAGAUCUUGUUGAAGCCAUCAAAGUGCGUCGCCGUUUACAAAUCGAGACAUUUGAUUGGCGCCAUUUGCUUCCGCACAAUUGAUGCGCUGUUGCUGAAAAGAAAGAAAACCAAAAUGCUGUGCUGCAAUGGCCAACAAUUUCUUUUGUUUUCAAUUGUUGCAAUUGUACAGCCGCCGCCUGGGAUCUUUCACAAAAUUUACGCAGUCUGAGUGUGUGCUGGAAUGUUGAUGGAUCUUCCCACAUCAUCAUCUUCCUUUUGUCCGCGAACAGGAACUGGUCACAGUUUAAAGACCGAGUCAAGUCGGCUGGCGGCUGGCGGCUGACGCUGAAGUUUCUUUUAUACGUUGCUGUUGCCUCUUUGUUUUUGGUAUUUCUUAAUUUUGCGCCUGAUAUCAAAGUGUAUGUUGCAUAUGUAUAUGUAUGUAUGUACGAUGCUUUGCGUUUGCAGUUGCCUUUUUGUGUUGUGUAAACAGAAAUUGCCAGCGACAAACAGACAAACAGACAGGCAACAACCAACAACUGUUCAGGCCUUACAGCAGCAGCAGCAACAACAAUAACAACAACAGCAACAAUCCAGGCAACAUCUGUCGCCCAUCAUCUAAACCAUGUCCAAUGCUCUCCCAACGUCCAAUUGGUUAGCCAUGUUACGCUGGCUUUACUGUCGCCUCCCUGCCAAAUAGUUGGCAUAG